GACGAACCGAGCGAACGUUAUUCGGAAUCACUGGGCUUAAAGGGCGCGUAGGCGGGCCUGAUAGUCAGGGGUGAAAGCCCCCAGCUCAACUGGGGAAGUGCCUCUGAUACUUCAGGUCUCGAGGGAGGUAGGGGCGUGCGGAACUUCCGGUGGAGCGGUGAAAUGCGCAGAUAUCAGGAGGAACACCGGUGGCGAAGGCGGGUCUCUGGGCCGAUACUGACGCUGAGGAGCGAAAGCGUGGGGAGCGAACAGG
Molecule: ribosomal RNA, 253 nt
Filed under: uncultured bacterium
Lineage: Bacteria
Description: partial 16S ribosomal RNA
Rfam family: Bacterial small subunit ribosomal RNA
Source: RNAcentral